CUCAAGCCUGGAUAUACAUUCAACAUGUCCUCUGAAGUAACAACCGUCCCAUCUGGCUGAGAAGUGAUGGACACCGUUCCUUAAUCACACCGUACACUCCGUUCUUGGCACCUCCAUGCCCAAAAGAUAUCAACAAAUUGGAUGGAAUUCAGAGAACAGCAAGAAAAAUGAUUAAAGAGAUGGAGGCACUGACUUAUGAGUAAAGAUGAAAGGACAAAAUCUGUAUAGCUUGGCAAAGCAACAACUGAGGUACCAUAUGAUAACUGGCUACAAGUGUUUGAAGAAAUGUAAACACCAAGAGAGGAGAGGGAACUUUUUAGGAUGAUCUACAGAAUAAGCAGAGCAAAAGAACAGAAUUGAAGAAAUGGGAGAGAUUUCCUAAAGAGGGGAUGUUUGCUCAUCUGUUGCAGAUGCUGAUAAAUACCAGAGUGAAGUCUAAAGAAAACAAUGUGUAUCUCAUGCUUUUAGGUGGCAAUCACGGUUGACCUACACCAAUAAAGUGGCAAUCUGUUUGUAUGCACACAUAUAAUAUUUGUGCUGUCUUUUUCAGUUUACCAAGUGCUUCCACACACAUCAUGUCAUUAAAUUAACAGAAUGAACUUAUGCCAUUACUAAUUAAUCUUAAAUAAGAAAAAGCAGAAGUUUCCUUCUGCCUAGGUAUUGAGGCAACCAGGUAAAUCACAAGCGAAACAUAUGCGACUCUGAAUUUAUAAUCUGCUUGCUUUCUCAACACUCUAUCUUCCAGAAUUCCAAUACAAUUUAGACUAUGCUCACUCACAAUCUAGAAAAAGUAUUUAAAGUUAUGUCUAAAGCAACAGUCCUCAUUCUACCUGUUCUCUUGCUGCUCUUUGCUGGAGGAGAUUAGACAUGAAGUAUUACCUGGGCAAAAUUUUGUGAGUAAUCUUUUAAUUCUAUUGAUGACCCAGUGGGAAAAUGACUCCUGUUUGGCUACUCUCUUCCCUUGGGUGAUGGGUUCCAUCAUGGCUUACUGCCUAAUUCUGUCAGCUGCAGCCCUCAGAUCAUUCAUUAAUGCAAAGUGUUAAGAUUCACUUAAUAUUAUACCCCACCCCAUGUAAGAAUAACCCGAAUAAAAUUCUUUAAAGAGUUGCAGCUCAAAUGUGCUAAGAGAUGUUAUGUGUGUAUUGUUCACUGGUUUCAGGUUGUGAAUCCUUUCCAACCACCUACCUACCACAUGUUAGGUUUCUGAUGGAGAUAUACUUGUAAAGUAAUUCAGUUAUGAAUAUUAUUAUUUCUAACUAGAGCAUUGGGUCCAAAUCCCCUAAAGAUUUCUAACAUUGAUGAAUUGGUCUGGAGUAUGUAUGAGUUACAAAGGCACUUCUGUAUAGAUAAGAGUCUGAAGUAUAUUCUCUGUUUCAUGCUUCCUUUCCCUGGUCCACAUAAUGAUUUCCUAUUAGCUUUCUCUAAGUUAUUGCUGGAAAGGAAAGAAAGACACAUUUCCUACCCAUUAGGAAACUCCAAAGUACCUAUACCAUAAAAUAUAUUGGAAAAAAAGUGAAAGGAUCAAUGUCAAAGUAAAUACUGUAAUGAGAACAUAAAAUCUCCCCCAAAUCAGGAGAAUCUUCCUUGUAGAACUAAGAACUUUUAGACAAUUUUCUCUUCAUCCUGAAAUUUGUGGACCUUUGCACAAAAUGUGUGUCCUUGAUCUAGAACAUAUAAAAACCUCUUGGGAAGUAUAAAGAAGUUGGAAAUGGUGAAACAUUGGCCUUUACUCUAAAAAAAAAAAAACUACAGGAUUUAUCUUAAAUACAAAGAGCUUAGCAAGCGAUGUUUUGGCAUGACAACCCUUCGGAAACAUCUAGGGGCGCCUGGGUGGCGCAGUCGGUUAAGCGUCCGACUUCAGCCAGGUCACGAUCUCGCGGUCCGUGAGUUCGAGCCCCGCGUCAGGCUCUGGGCUGAUGGCUCGGAGCCUGGAGCCUGUUUCCGAUUCUGUGUCUCCCUCUCUCUCUGCCCCUCCCCCGUUCAUGCUCUGUCUCUCUCUGUUCCAAAAAUAAAUAAACGUUGAAAAAUAGUGACAUCUACUCUAUAGCUGGAUCUGUCUGUUAGAUGUUAGAUGAUGGCAAGAUUUUGAGUGUAUAUAUUCUAGAGCAGUAGGUUUCAAAUUUUGAUGUAUAUAUCAAUCACUGGGGAAACUUGUUAAAGUGCAGGUUUGUAUAUAAGAGGUCUGGACUAGGGUCUGAGAUCUUGAAUUUCUAAUAAGUUCCCAGAUGAUGUUGAUGUUACUGGCCCAUGUACUGUAUUCAGAAUAGCAAGAUUCUAUAGGACAUUUUCAUUCUAGCUGUAUGGCACAGCAGUAAAAAAUGGCUACAACUAGCCAUGUACAUUUCAGAGAAAACUCACUUUUGAAUUAAAUUCAUUUCAUAUGGUAUUAACAGAAUGCAUGCAGGUAGCAGGCUCUUAUAUUGGUAGCUUUAUUUACAUUACAAUUUUAUAACAUUUUCCUUCUUUUAAUUCAAGUUCUAUUUUUAAAAAUAUGUUUUAAGUCCACACCCUGAUAAUAAUCCUACUUUGGAAAAGGGCCCUGUGGAAGGAAGGAAGGAAGGAAGGAAGGAAGGAAGGAAGGAAGGAAGGAAGGAAGGGCAGAAGAGGAGGGAAGGUGGGAGGGAGGGAGGGAGGAAGGGAGGAAGGAAAGAAGAGAAGAAACAAAGAAAGGAAGAAAAGAAAAAAAGAAAAGAGAAGAAAAGCUCCAGUCUGUCUGGACCUCUGAGAGAUAUCUUUUGCAAGGAAUUUUUAAGUUUGGGCCCAAAAAGUGGUCUUUCGUUCUUCAUCCUAGAGGCUAUAAUGGAAACUAGGAUGAAGAACCCAACAGUGGCUGUUUGGGAGUGGAGGAGGGGCCAUCCAGACCCAGUGAAUCACCAAGGAAACACAAGGCCUAUUU
RNAcentral lists this long non-coding RNA (2896 nucleotides) under Lynx pardinus (Iberian lynx). The record is from RNAcentral. Lineage: Eukaryota; Metazoa; Chordata; Mammalia; Carnivora; Felidae.